This 400-nucleotide ribosomal RNA is filed under the name uncultured bacterium. RNAcentral's name for it is "partial 16S ribosomal RNA". It matches the Rfam family "Bacterial small subunit ribosomal RNA", at positions 338 to 755 of the family's 1533-position model. The record is from RNAcentral.
CCUACGGGUGGCAGCAGUGGGGAAUAUUGCACAAUGGGGGAAACCCUGAUGCAGCGACGCCGCGUGAGUGAAGAAGGAUUUCGGGAUGGAAAGCUCUAGCAGCAGGGAAGAAAAUGACGGUACCUGAUGAAGAAGCCCCGGCUAACUACGGGCCAGCAGCCGCGGUAAUACGUAGGGGGCACUCGUUAUCCGGAUUUACUGGGUGUAAAGGGAGCGUAGACGGCAGCACAAGGCUGGAGUGAAAUGCCGGGGCUUAACCCCGGAACUGCUUUGGAAACUGUGCAGCUAGAGUGCAGGAGAGGUAAGUGGCAUUCCUAUUGUAGCGGUUAAAUGCGUAGCUAUUAGGCGGAACCCCAGUGGCGACGGCGGCUUACUGGACUGUAACUGACGUUGAGGCUCG